AGAGUUUGAUCCUGGCUCAGAACGAACGCUGGCGGCGUGGAUAAGACAUGCAAGUCGAGCGCUGAUUUGAGGGUAGCAAUAUUUUCAAGUCGGAGCGGCGCAAGGGUGCGUAACACGUGGGGAUCUGCUUUGAAGUGUGGGAUAACUCGUCGAAAGACGAGCUAAUACCGCAUGUGAUCGUGAGAUCAAAGUUGGGGAUCGCAAGACCUGACGCUUCAAGAUGAGCCCGCGGCCUAUCAGCUAGUUGGCGAGGUAAAAGCUCACCAAGGCUAAGACGGGUAGCUGGUCUGAGAGGACGACUAGCCACACUGGAACUGAGACACGGUCCAGACACCUACGGGUGGCAGCAGUCGAGAAUUUUUCUCAAUGGGCGAAAGCCUGAAGGAGCGACGCCGCGUGGGGGAUGAAUGGCUUCGGCCCGUAAACCCCUGUCAUUUGCGAACAAAUUGACUCACCUAACAUGUGUGUCAUUGAUUGUAGCGGGAGAGGUAGGGAUGGCUAACUCUGUGCCAGCAGCCGCGGUAAUACAGAGGUCCCAAGCGUUGUUCGGAUUCACUGGGCGUAAAGGGUGCGUAGGCGGUUGGGUAAGUCUGACGUGAAAUUUCCGGGCCUAACCCGGAAACUGCGUUGGAUACUAUCCGGCUAGAGGAAUGGAGGGGAGACUGGAAUACUUGGUGUAGCAGUGAAAUGCGUAGAUAUCAAGUGGAACACCAGUGGCGAAGGCGAGUCUCUGGACAUUUCCUGACGCUGAGGCACGAAAGCCAGGGGAGCAAACGGGAUUAGAUACCCCGGUAGUCCUGGCCCUAAACGGUGCACGUUUGCUGUAAGC
This 829-nucleotide ribosomal RNA is filed under the name uncultured bacterium. RNAcentral's name for it is "bacterial SSU rRNA". It matches the Rfam family "Bacterial small subunit ribosomal RNA", at positions 8 to 827 of the family's 1533-position model. The record is from RNAcentral.